GAUGAACGCUGGCGGCGUGCCUAAUACAUGCAAGUCGAGCGAACAGAUAAGGAGCUUGCUCCUUUGACGUUAGCGGCGGACGGGUGAGUAACACGUGGGUAACCUACCUAUAAGACCGGAAUAACUCCGGGAAACCGGGGCUAAUGCCGGAUAACAUUUAGAACCGCAUGGUUCUAAAGUGAAAGAUGGUUUUGCUAUCACUUAUAGAUGGACCCGCGCCGUAUUAGCUAGUUGGUAAGGUAACGGCUUACCAAGGCAACGAUACGUAGCCGACCUGAGAGGGUGAUCGGCCACACUGGAACUGAGACACGGUCCACACUCCUACGGGAGGCAGCAGUAGGGAAUCUUCCGCAAUGGGCGAAAGCCUGACGGAGCAACGCCGCGUGAGUGAUGAAGGUCUUCGGAUCGUAAAACUCUGUUAUUAGGGAAGAACAAAUGUGUAAGUAACUGUGCACGUCUUGACGGUACCUAAUCAGAAAGCCACGGCUAACUACGUG
RNAcentral lists this ribosomal RNA (497 nucleotides) under uncultured bacterium. RNAcentral describes it as "partial 16S ribosomal RNA". It matches the Rfam family "Bacterial small subunit ribosomal RNA", at positions 28 to 507 of the family's 1533-position model. The record is from RNAcentral.